CCUAUAAUGCCGCCUUCCGGUCACCCCGGGGCCACCGGGUACCCCCCACACAGCUUGCGGGGCUCGGGCUCCGCAGAUUGAGGACCCUCACCUUUGUCCCCACUCCUCCUUUCCUCCCAAAUCUAUCCCUGAGACACACAAUCCUUCCUUUAACGGCACUCACCGCCCGGAGGGUUUCCCCAAAUUCAGCUUCUGUUUCCUUUUCAAAUUUUCAUCCGUGGGCACCUCCAGUUCAUCUCCCUUUAAGCAAUGCUUUCAUCCAUCCCUUCUCUCGAGCAUCCUCCUUCAGGCAGGUCUGAUAUUCUGAUUUCACCACCAGACUGGAAAUUGAUCUUCUGAGGUGUGCCUCACUAGUAGCUACAGUUCAGGCUUAUUUAUUACUUAUUUUUUAACAGUCGCUCUUCAGGCAAUGGAGUCAGAGAAGGGAGAGCAUAAACUACAACUGUUCCCAAGGAGUUUAGAUGCAUCUUUGGGCUCUGCCUUCUGUGCUCACCACAAACAACAGUAGACAAAAGAGACUUAUGUUCCAUUCUGAUCCUAGAACUCUGAGAAGACAAAGCAUUUCAAAGUUCCCUGUGCUAACAAGGGACUGCUACCACAGAGUAGAAGUGGCACUGUCACCUCUGGAGGCAAAGAGCAGACUGGUUGAUGAUGAUUCCACCACUUUUGAUUUCACCUGUCAGUAACGAACCACUUCCUUCUUCUAAGAAGCUGAUACCAUAAAGCCCUGAGAAUACACAAAUCCUUUGAAAAAGUGUCUGAUCACACCCACCUGCCUGAAAUAAAUUUUGGCAGCAUCUGCUUCAUCCUAACAGCUGAAGGGAAGUCUUUGGAGUUCCUUGAUCAAAUUGCACUGAGAAAUCCUCUUUUCAGCUGGUGAGAAGGGAAGUUGAAGAAACAGAAGAUAAUAGAAGUAACGCUAGAAUGGAUGAAAUCAAGUCAACCUCAGUGAUCAGUGGAAAAUCAGCUUCACGAAGACUGCAUAUUACUAGCUUUAAAGACUCCAUACACCAGCAUGCCUGGCAGAGUCCUUAGAGUACUAUAAUCAGAUGAAGACCGAACUAAGACUACAUGUGGAGCCAGUGUCCUCUUUUUCCCAGAAUCUUUUUCCCAGUUAGCCUAUUUGUCUUUCAAAUAAAGUUGAUCAU
Molecule: long non-coding RNA, 1148 nt
Organism: Canis lupus familiaris (dog)
Lineage: Eukaryota; Metazoa; Chordata; Mammalia; Carnivora; Canidae
Exons: 5
Source: RefSeq, a predicted model, not a curated record